Molecule: long non-coding RNA, 235 nt
Organism: Prionailurus viverrinus (fishing cat)
Lineage: Eukaryota; Metazoa; Chordata; Mammalia; Carnivora; Felidae
Exons: 3
Source: RefSeq, a predicted model, not a curated record
CAUAAAACAUCCGGAAGCUGUCAGUGUGGUGGUGACCAAAGAACUGCCCCGCGAUGACAUGAUGGUGCUUCCGGACCACCUUCAAGCUGUUGUGUGGAUGGAAAAAGCUGCCUCCUGGUACCAGGCUGAUGAAGGACCCCUCUGUGAUGGGGGCAUCUUGAGUGGUUGGGUUGGUGUUGAGGACCACGACUCGCCCAGCCCCACUCAGUCCAGGCAGCUUCUCGGCAUAGAAGGC